Molecule: non-coding RNA, 125 nt
Organism: Triticum aestivum (bread wheat)
Lineage: Eukaryota; Viridiplantae; Streptophyta; Magnoliopsida; Poales; Poaceae
Source: Rfam
UUAAUACUCACUCCGCCCCGAAUUACUUGUCACAGAAAUGGAUGUAUCUGCAUGUAUUUUUAGUUCUAGAUACAUCAAUUUCUAUCCAUUUGUGUGACAAGUAAUUUGGGACGGGGGAGUACCAG